AUCUUUACAUUUUUACUUUCAAAUCCACCUUCAAUUAAUUUUUCAUUUUAAUAUUCGUGUAAAUAUUUUUAUUGUAAUUCAUUUCUUCUUAAAUAUAAGCUACACCUUGAUCUGAAAUAUUUUCAUUUUUAAAGUUAAGAAAAUUAUUAUUCUUUUAAAAUAUUCUGAUAACGACGGUAUAUAAACUGUAAACAAAUUUAAGUAAGGUCCAACGGGGAUUAUCAAUUAUAGAACAAAUUCCUCUGAAUUGACUAAAAUACCGCCAAAUUUUUUAAGUUUCAAGACUAUAACUAUUAC
RNAcentral lists this ribosomal RNA (297 nucleotides) under Diasemopsis nebulosa. Its description in RNAcentral is "partial 12S ribosomal RNA". The record is from RNAcentral. Lineage: Eukaryota; Metazoa; Arthropoda; Insecta; Diptera; Diopsidae.